Molecule: long non-coding RNA, 658 nt
Filed under: Mus pahari (shrew mouse)
Lineage: Eukaryota; Metazoa; Chordata; Mammalia; Rodentia; Muridae
Description: predicted gene 14635 (MGP_PahariEiJ_G0006473.1)
Source: RNAcentral
AGAGCCUCCCUCCCAGCCCUAUCAGCACAAUCAGGCAGGGGAAAGCACCAGAAGGCCCUACAUCCUCCUUCUUGUCCUCUGGGGCAUGUUUCCCAGCUGCUCAGGGCCUUCUGAUGUUCCCUAAAGAGCCGCCUACAUGCCUUUCCCUGAAGCCUAGGCAUUCCUUCCUCCAUCUUCAAAAGAACUGCCCUGUCAUAGCACACAGAUUUUGUCAACGAGGCACAAGCUAGAGACAACUGGCAAGAGAAAAUCACAACUGACAAAAGGUCCCCAUCAGGAUGAACCUGGAACACCGAAGCCUGAUGUGAAUGAUAUGUCUGUUUAGGGUUCUAGUUCAAUCAACUAUGAUUACCCAAUUACUAGACCCCAUUUAAGAAGCACCCUUCAGUCUCUUCUAACCAGGGAGCCAGCCUCUGAGAAGUCUCCUUGGAAGAUGAUGGUCUUGCUUCCUAGCUCAUUCAACAAACUGAAGCCAUCCCCAGCCUCUGCCACCACACCCUCCAGCCUGCCUUCCCACCUUCCACUGAGAAUGAACUGUCACGUCCCAGCCAACACCGUCCCCACUCAUCCAUCCGUGCACAGCUGGCUCCCGCGGUCCUUUCCCUUCCCUGCACAGCCAAUUAUUCCCUCCGCUCUGCUGCACUCUGCUGCAAAUGAA